RNAcentral lists this long non-coding RNA (877 nucleotides) under Gallus gallus (chicken). RNAcentral describes it as "long non-coding RNA NONGGAT011601". Lineage: Eukaryota; Metazoa; Chordata; Aves; Galliformes; Phasianidae. The record is from RNAcentral.
CUUGAACAGCUGGCCACUGCUGUGAUCAGCAAAAGAAAACCAGGUUCUCCAGCUAUCCGGGCACAGUGAUGUUCAGCAAAACGUCACACAACAGCAGCUCAGUUCUGGCAGAUCCCAACGGCACAGCACGGGACCCCCUGUCUGCAAUGCUCCCGUGUUGCUGUGGGUUUUCUUGCUCCGCCGCAGUACUGAAAGCUGCAGUGUUCCUUUCUUUCACUACCUUUUGUUCUUGGAAAUAAUCCCUUUUCCACGUAGCUGUGGAACUAUGAAGCUGCCUGCUGCAGUUGCAUUCUUUAUCUGGCUGUCAUCUGUACUUCACAGCGAAGCCCUGAGCUGCCUCUGCCAGAGCCCUGCUGCUCUUGGCUCUGGAUGCGCCAGCGACUGCCUCACUUCUGGUUGGAGGGCUUAAGUGGAGUAGGAUUGUUUUACCUUUCUUCUGUGAUGCAGAUAUAAUGCUGAGUAAAAUGUGUAUUGGGAAAGGUGGGGGAAGACCACUACUACCUGUUGAUGUUAGAAAGCAAUGUAUGGUAUUUGUAUAUCUUCUUGGCAUUGAUUUCCAACUACCAGCAGCUAAAGCAGAGACACGUUCAUUAAAAAUAUCCUCACAGACCUCAAGUGUGCAAAUGCAAGCUGCAUCCUGACUAGAUGUCAAACGUUCUGGGUGUAACUGUGCACUUCCCAUCACUAAUGCAAAGCACUCAGUGCCGUUCUGAUGCAUGGGAUGUGCCCAUCUCCUUUCCUUCCUUUGGACAUGGCUCCUCUGCAGCUGUGAUUUCGCGGUGGCACAACCUGUGGGUGGGUCUGCAACCACCCCACCACUCUGUGUAUGCAUUUCCCCCACUGCACAUGGAGACUUAAAGCCAGUACAAGGCGAAAA